Molecule: ribosomal RNA, 253 nt
Filed under: uncultured bacterium
Lineage: Bacteria
Description: partial 16S ribosomal RNA
Rfam family: Bacterial small subunit ribosomal RNA
Source: RNAcentral
UACGGAGGGUGCAAGCGUUAAUCGGAAUUACUGGGCGUAAAGCGUGCGUAGGCGGUUUGUUAAGUCAGAUGUGAAAGCCCUGGGCUCAACCUGGGAACUGCAUUUGAUACUGGCAGGCUAGAGUAUGGUAGAGGGAAGUGGAAUUCCGGGUGUAGCGGUGAAAUGCGUAGAUAUCCGGAGGAACACCAGUGGCGAAGGCGACUUCCUGGACCAAUACUGACGCUGAGGUACGAAAGCGUGGGUAGCAAACAGG